Molecule: ribosomal RNA, 1429 nt
Filed under: Lactiplantibacillus plantarum
Lineage: Bacteria; Bacillati; Bacillota; Bacilli; Lactobacillales; Lactobacillaceae
Description: bacterial SSU rRNA
Rfam family: Bacterial small subunit ribosomal RNA
Source: RNAcentral
GCAGUCGACGAACUCUGGUAUUGAUUGGUGCUUGCAUCAUGAUUUACAUUUGAGUGAGUGGCGAACUGGUGAGUAACACGUGGGAAACCUGCCCAGAAGCGGGGGAUAACACCUGGAAACAGAUGCUAAUACCGCAUAACAACUUGGACCGCAUGGUCCGAGUUUGAAAGAUGGCUUCGGCUAUCACUUUUGGAUGGUCCCGCGGCGUAUUAGCUAGAUGGUGAGGUAACGGCUCACCAUGGCAAUGAUACGUAGCCGACCUGAGAGGGUAAUCGGCCACAUUGGGACUGAGACACGGCCCAAACUCCUACGGGAGGCAGCAGUAGGGAAUCUUCCACAAUGGACGAAAGUCUGAUGGAGCAACGCCGCGUGAGUGAAGAAGGGUUUCGGCUCGUAAAACUCUGUUGUUAAAGAAGAACAUAUCUGAGAGUAACUGUUCAGGUAUUGACGGUAUUUAACCAGAAAGCCACGGCUAACUACGUGCCAGCAGCCGCGGUAAUACGUAGGUGGCAAGCGUUGUCCGGAUUUAUUGGGCGUAAAGCGAGCGCAGGCGGUUUUUUAAGUCUGAUGUGAAAGCCUUCGGCUCAACCGAAGAAGUGCAUCGGAAACUGGGAAACUUGAGUGCAGAAGAGGACAGUGGAACUCCAUGUGUAGCGGUGAAAUGCGUAGAUAUAUGGAAGAACACCAGUGGCGAAGGCGGCUGUCUGGUCUGUAACUGACGCUGAGGCUCGAAAGUAUGGGUAGCAAACAGGAUUAGAUACCCUGGUAGUCCAUACCGUAAACGAUGAAUGCUAAGUGUUGGAGGGUUUCCGCCCUUCAGUGCUGCAGCUAACGCAUUAAGCAUUCCGCCUGGGGAGUACGGCCGCAAGGCUGAAACUCAAAGGAAUUGACGGGGGCCCGCACAAGCGGUGGAGCAUGUGGUUUAAUUCGAAGCUACGCGAAGAACCUUACCAGGUCUUGACAUACUAUGCAAAUCUAAGAGAUUAGACGUUCCCUUCGGGGACAUGGAUACAGGUGGUGCAUGGUUGUCGUCAGCUCGUGUCGUGAGAUGUUGGGUUAAGUCCCGCAACGAGCGCAACCCUUAUUAUCAGUUGCCAGCAUUAAGUUGGGCACUCUGGUGAGACUGCCGGUGACAAACCGGAGGAAGGUGGGGAUGACGUCAAAUCAUCAUGCCCCUUAUGACCUGGGCUACACACGUGCUACAAUGGAUGGUACAACGAGUUGCGAACUCGCGAGAGUAAGCUAAUCUCUUAAAGCCAUUCUCAGUUCGGAUUGUAGGCUGCAACUCGCCUACAUGAAGUCGGAAUCGCUAGUAAUCGCGGAUCAGCAUGCCGCGGUGAAUACGUUCCCGGGCCUUGUACACACCGCCCGUCACACCAUGAGAGUUUGUAACACCCAAAGUCGGUGGGGUAACCUUUUAGGAACCAGC